GAUGAACGCUGGCGGCGUGCCUAAUGCAUGCAAGUCGAGCGAACGGACGAGAAGCUUGCUUCUCUGAUGUUAGCGGCGGACGGGUGAGUAACACGUGGAUAACCUACCUAUAAGACUGGGAUAACUUCGGGAAACCGGAGCUAAUACCGGAUAAUAUUUUGAACCGCAUGGUUCAAAAGUGAAAGACGGUCUUGCUGUCACUUAUAGAUGGAUCCGCGCUGCAUUAGCUAGUUGGUAAGGUAACGGCUUACCAAGGCAACGAUGCAUAGCCGACCUGAGAGGGUGAUCGGCCACACUGGAACUGAGACACGGUCCAGACUCCUACGGGAGGCAGCAGUAGGGAAUCUUCCGCAAUGGGCGAAAGCCUGACGGAGCAACGCCGCGUGAGUGAUGAAGGUCUUCGGAUCGUAAAACUCUGUUAUUAGGGAAGAACAUAUGUGUAAGUAACUGCGCACAUCUUGACGGUACCUAAUCAGAAAGCCACGGCUAACUACGUG
RNAcentral lists this ribosomal RNA (497 nucleotides) under uncultured bacterium. RNAcentral's name for it is "partial 16S ribosomal RNA". It matches the Rfam family "Bacterial small subunit ribosomal RNA", at positions 28 to 507 of the family's 1533-position model. The record is from RNAcentral.